AGAGUUUGAUCAUGGCUCAGGAUGAACGCUGGCGGCGUGCUUAACACAUGCAAGUCGAACGGGAAAUAUUUCAUUGAGACUUCGGUGGAUUUGAUCUGUUUCUAGUGGCGGACGGGUGAGUAACGCGUGGGUAACCUGCCUUAUACAGGGGGAUAACAGUCAGAAAUGGCUGCUAAUACCGCAUAAGCGCACAGAGCUGCAUGGCUCAGUGUGAAAAACUCCGGUGGUAUAAGAUGGACCCGCGUUGGAUUAGCUAGUUGGUGGGGUAACGGCCCACCAAGGCGACGAUCCAUAGCCGGCCUGAGAGGGUGAACGGCCACAUUGGGACUGAGACACGGCCCAGACUCUUACGGGAGGCAGCAGUGGGGAAUAUUGCACAAUGGGGGAAACCCUGAUGCAGCGACGCCGCGUGAAGGAAGAAGUAUCUCGGUAUGUAAACUUCUAUCAGCAGGGAAGAUAGUGACGGUACCUGACUAAGAAGCCCCGGCUAACUACGUGCCAGCAGCCGCGGUAAUACGUAGGGGGCAAGCGUUAUCCGGAUUUACUGGGUGUAAAGGGAGCGUAGACGGUGUGGCAAGUCUGAUGUGAAAGGCAUGGGCUCAACCUGUGGACUGCAUUGGAAACUGUCAUACUUGAGUGCCGGAGGGGUAAGCGGAAUUCCUAGUGUAGCGGUGAAAUGCGUAGAUAUUAGGAGGAACACCAGUGGCGAAGGCGGCUUACUGGACGGUAACUGACGUUGAGGCUCGAAAGCGUGGGGAGCAAACAGGAUUAGAUACCCUGGUAGU
This 785-nucleotide ribosomal RNA is filed under the name uncultured bacterium. RNAcentral describes it as "bacterial SSU rRNA". It matches the Rfam family "Bacterial small subunit ribosomal RNA", at positions 8 to 794 of the family's 1533-position model. The record is from RNAcentral.